Molecule: long non-coding RNA, 259 nt
Organism: Dicentrarchus labrax (European seabass)
Lineage: Eukaryota; Metazoa; Chordata; Actinopteri; Moronidae
Exons: 3
Source: RefSeq, a predicted model, not a curated record
GUGCACUUUUGUAACUUCCUCAUUUUAAAGUUAAUUCUUGCAUGCGGUUCGAGAAAGCAACAUAACUUUUAAGGAACUUCACUUCUCUAUACGUCUUGAUCUGUCUGCCUGGAAGACCUGAAGAAAAUAGUUUCUGUCUCUCCUGACACACAAAGAUGGCUGCAGCUCUGACUCUCCUUCUCAUUGGCUGUCUGCUGCAGAGUGUCCACUGUGGAGAGUUUAAGGUCACUAUGCCGCAGACUAUAGAAGUUCUCAGGGG